GCCAUGCUAGGAUGGGAGGACUGGAUUCCUCUUAGAUCUGGGCAAGAAUGGGAAGUCUGGAUUUCUCAUGGAUCCGGUCAAGGGGUUGAAGGGUUUCCUAAAUUGAGAGAGCUUCACAUUUUAAGAUGUUCUAAGCUGCAAGGAACAUUUCCAGAGCACCUUCCUGCAUUGGAGAUGCUUGUUAUUGAAGCAUGUAUUGUUAUUGAAGGAUGUGAAGAAUUGUUAGUUUCAGUUUUGAGUCUUCCAGCUCUUUGCAAAUUCUUAAUUGGUGGAUGCAAAAAGGUUGUGUGGGAAAGUGCAACUGGUCAUCUCGGAUCACAGAAUUCAGUGGUUUGUAGAGAUACAUCAAAUCAAGUGUUUCUCGCAGGGCCAUUAAAGCCGCAACUACCAAAAUUGGAAGAAUUAAUUUUGUCGACAAAAGAGCAAACAUAUAUAUGGAAGAGUCAUGACGGAUUACUACAAGACAUUUGCUCUCUCAAAAAACUGACGAUUGACUGGUGUCCCAAACUUCAAUCCUUGGUGGCGGAGGAAGAGAAAGACCAACAACAGCAGCUCUGCGAGUUGUCAUGCAGACUCGAAUAUCUAAGAUUGAGAUAUUGCAAAGGCCUUGUGAAGCUGCCACAAUCAUCUCUCAGCCUCAGUUCCUUGAGAGAGAUAGACAUCUACGACUGCAGUUCCCUUGUUUCCUUUCCUGAGGUUGCUCUGCCUUCCAAGUUGAAGAAAAUUGAGAUUAGAAAAUGUGAUGCACUGAAAUCAUUACCAGAGGCAUGGAUGUGCGACACCAAUUCCUCUCUCGAGACCUUGAAAAUUGAGCGCUGCCGUUCGUUGACAUAUAUUGCUGGAGUCCAACUACCACCGAGCCUUAAGAGGUUGGACAUCUGGAAUUGUGAUAAUAUAAGGACUUUGACAGUGGAAGAGGGCGUCCAGAGCAGCAGCAGAAGGUACACCUCAUCUCUUCUUGAGCACUUACACAUUGGCAGUUGUGACUCUCUGACAUGUAUAUUUUCAAAAAACGAGUUACCUGCCACGCUUGAGUCCCUUGAAGUUGGCAAUCUACCUCCGUCUCUUAAGUCCCUUGGUGUUUGGGGAUGUUCAAAGCUGGAGUCAAUAGCAGAAAGGUUGGACAACAACACAUCUCUUGAAACAAUCGGUAUUUAUAAUUGUGAAAAUCUGAAAAUUUUACCGAGUGGUUUACAUAAUCUCCGCCAGCUUCAAGAGAUUCAGAUAUGGGAUUGUGGAAAUCUGGUGUCCUGUCCCGAAGGGGGAUUGCCUUGUGCGAAACAGAGUAAGCUCAGGAUCUAUUGGUGUGAGAGACUGGAGGCCUUACCCAAGGGAUUGCACAAUCUGACCUCUCUUCAAGAAUUAACAAUAGGAAGAGGAGUUGAGCUUCCAAGCCUUGAAGAAGAUGGCCUUCCCACCAACCUUCAUUCUCUUGCGAUUUGGGAUAAUAUGAAGAUUUGGAAGUCAACGAUUGAGUGGGGCCGGGGAUUUCACAGAUUCUCCUCUCUGCGACAACUUACAAUCGUUGGAUGUGAUGACGACAUGGUGUCAUUUCCACCAGAGCCAGAGGACAUAAGAUUGGGGACCACGCUUCCUCUUCCUGCCUCUCUAACAUCUCUAGAGAAAAUUGAGAUUAGAAAAUGUGAUGCACUGAAAUCAUUACCAGAGGCAUGGAUGUGCGACACCAAUUCCUCUCUCGAGACCUUGAAAAUUGAGCGCUGCCGUUCGUUGACAUAUAUUGCUGGAGUCCAACUACCACCGAGCCUUAAGAGGUUGGACAUCUGGAAUUGUGAUAAUAUAAGGACUUUGACAGUGGAAGAGGGCGUCCAGAGCAGCAGCAGAAGGUACACCUCAUCUCUUCUUGAGCACUUACACAUUGGCAGUUGUGACUCUCUGACAUGUAUAUUUUCAAAAAACGAGUUACCUGCCACGCUUGAGUCCCUUGAAGUUGGCAAUCUACCUCCGUCUCUUAAGUCCCUUGGUGUUUGGGGAUGUUCAAAGCUGGAGUCAAUAGCAGAAAGGUUGGACAACAACACAUCUCUUGAAACAAUCGGUAUUUAUAAUUGUGAAAAUCUGAAAAUUUUACCGAGUGGUUUACAUAAUCUCCGCCAGCUUCAAGAGAUUCAGAUAUGGGAUUGUGGAAAUCUGGUGUCCUGUCCCGAAGGGGGAUUGCCUUGUGCGAAACAGAGUAAGCUCAGGAUCUAUUGGUGUGAGAGACUGGAGGCCUUACCCAAGGGAUUGCACAAUCUGACCUCUCUUCAAGAAUUAACAAUAGGAAGAGGAGUUGAGCUUCCAAGCCUUGAAGAAGAUGGCCUUCCCACCAACCUUCAUUCUCUUGCGAUUUGGGAUAAUAUGAAGAUUUGGAAGUCAACGAUUGAGUGGGGCCGGGGAUUUCACAGAUUCUCCUCUCUGCGACAACUUACAAUCGUUGGAUGUGAUGACGACAUGGUGUCAUUUCCACCAGAGCCAGAGGACAUAAGAUUGGGGACCACGCUUCCUCUUCCUGCCUCUCUAACAUCUCUAGAGAUUUCUAGAUUUCCAAAUCUGGAACGCCUAUCUUCUUCAAUUGUUGAUCUUGAAAACCUCACUAAAUUGACACUCUAUGAUUGUCCGAAGCUCAAAUACUUUCCGGAGAAGGGCCUGCCUUCCUCACUUUUGCAAUUAAAUAUCUGGGAAUGUCCGUUGAUAGAAGAGAAGUGCAGAAAGGAUGGAGGACAAUAUUGGGACUUGUUAACCCUUAUACCGUGUGUUCUAAUAGGCUGGUAAAUCCGUUUUUGGCGAUAACACAUAGGACGACUGAUAGGACGGCUGAAAUAUUUUAUUGUUAGUAUUUUUUUUUUUAAAUUGGGCGUGUAUUAUGUGUUGGUGAUUAAUGGGUUUUCGAAAUAAAAAGAACAAAGGAGGAGGACUCUAUUAAUUAAUUAAUGAAUUAAUUUCUCAUUCUCAGCUGAUGAAACUUCAGUUUCUUAUAUUUGUCUUUUCCGCAGUAAGGUUACAUAUGUAAAAUAUUUUAUUAUUAGAAUUUUUUUAAAACUAAUUUUUUAUUAUUACUUUUAACCCGUCUUUGGUGUAAUCUUUGCUCAAAUUUCCCUUUAGAAUCCACUAUUUGAUAAAUGUAUAGAAUUCAUUCAAGUUACAGCUUCGAAUUAGAAAUGAGGAAUUUUCAUCAUACAAUAUUUAUAGGAAACCAUUUUGCCCUGCAAUGCUGUACAGUGAUUUGUAAACUUGGCCCGUAGACCAUCGGUCUUUCAUUAAGCCUACACAAAGCAGAAUUUGUCUUUUGCCCGUUGAAACUUCAGUUCCUUAUGUAAAAUAUUUUAUUAUUAGAAUUUUUUUUUCUUCUAAAUCAAGCGUGUUUGUGUAUGUAAUUUUAAAAUUCAAAUCUCAGUUGAAAACUGUUUUAAAUUAAUAAAAAAAAAUGUUAAGUACAGUAAGGGGCUCGCAUUAUUUUAGCAACGGGGGACUGUAUUAAUUAAUUAAUUAAUAGAUUAAUUUCUUAUGCGUAUCUCAUUCUUAGCUGUUGAAAUAAACGUCAGUUUUUUUUUUAUUUAGCUGUACGGUUACAUAUGUGUAAUAUUUCUCUUCAUCAGACUUCGGCAAAAAUUGUUAAUGUUCUUCUUAGUAAUUAAUUAGUACGUUAGUGUUCUUCUUUUGUUGUGUUUGUAUAACAACAAUGCUACCCAAUAUCAAUUGACCAAGUAAAUUAAACCGACCACAGUUUAUCAAAAGCAUUUUAUUAUAUAAUCUUCGUACAUGUACAUCGUCAUCAAAUCCCAUAACAACAAAAACAGAAAAUCAAAAGAAAACAAGAACAUGCCACACAAUAUCAAAAACGAAAAGAACAUUAUAACGCCAAGUAUUAUAUUUCUCUAAUUACAUUUCGGUUUUAGUGGCCUUAACUUAAAAUCUCCUCCAGAACAAUCUGCCUCUUCAACAAUAAUGUUAUAAUGUUCUUUUGAUGUUGUUGUUUUUUUAGGUGCUAAUUAAACAUAUGAGGGCUGGGCCGCGUUACAAAAUUAUUUGUAAUUUGUAAUUUAAUUGUUUAUGUGCCAUCGCUAUUAAUAUUAAUCGAGACACGGGAUGCUGGUGCUGCACUCGCGGGAUGGUGCUCGAUACUGGUGCUGCGCGCGCGGGGUGGUGCUCGAUGCUGGUGCUGCGCUGUGUUGCUCGCGGCUGGAGCUUAGGAUCUACGUUGUGGGGGCUGGAUCUGCACACUACUGUGUUGUGCGCGAGAGCUGCUGCUGCGUGGCUGUGGCUGCUGCAUUGCGUUGCGCGCGGCUGCUGCGUGGGCUGCGGGAAAGAAUUAGGGAUUUUGUGAAUUAGGGAUUUUUUUUAAUAGUGAUUUUUGAAUUUUUUUAUAAAUAAAUAUAUAAAAGAAAGAACAAAAGAAAAUCUCCUUUUUUCGUUUUUUAAAUAAAUAGAUAGAUAAAAUAAAAAAUAAAAUAAUUUUUUUAAUUCUUUUUUUUGUGAUGAAUCACUUUGAGACACCAAAACUUUCAGAAGUACUUUUUUAAUAAGCACGUGGGCACGCCUUAAAACCAUUUUACUUUAAAAAUCACAGAAGUACUUAUUAGUUAAGACGUGGGCAUGCCUUAUCAAAAAUUUUCUUCUGACCAAAAUAAGCAAACACAUUAUUUUUUUUUAAAAAAAAUCUGAAUCAAAAUUAAAAGAAGAUAUAACAAAAACCAAAAUAAAUAAAUCAUUUGGGUUGCCUCCCAAAAAGCGCCUUUAUUUUAUGUCUUUAGCUAGACACAUUUAUGCAUCAAUCUCCAUAAUUGGGAAUCUCGAGAGCCACAUCCUCCACACUAUUCAUUGAAAAACCUUCAUAAAAAAGUUUUAAGCGAUGACCGUUAACUUUAAAAACUUUGUCAGAGGUUGGACUUCGAAUCUCAACUGCACCAUGAGGAAAAACAUUAGUAACAAUAAAAGUCCAACCCAGUAAGAACAUAAUUUACCUGGAAAACAUUUAACCUUAAAAUGAAAAAGAAGAACUUUUUAACCAACAAAGAACUCCUUUCUCAAAAUCAUUCUAUCAUGAAAUGUUUUCGUUUUUUCCUUGUAAAAAACUUCCUGCACUAUAGGGUUAAUAACAUCCACAGAAAAUAUCGAAUGUUCCUCACUAGGAUAUUUCAUGGCAUCAUUCAUAUUGAAUUCUAUAACCUCUCCAUCAAACUCCAUAGUGAGAGUCCCUUUAUGUACAUCCAUUUUAGUCCUAGCAGUCUUAAGAAAAGGUCUUCCUAGCAAAAUUGGGAUAUAAUUAGAGGAGUUAUGAUCUUCCAUAUCAAGUACAUAAAAAUUAGCAGGAAAAACCAAUUCAUUAACUUGUACUAAGACAUCUUUUAAUACCCCAUCAGGAUAUGCAUUACACCUAUAAGCUAGUGGAAUUAUCACGCCAGUUUCUUUUAAUAGACCAACAUUCAAAGUUGAAUAAAUGGAACUAGGCAUGACAUUAAUAGAAGCUCCUAGAUCUAACAUAGCCUUUUCAACUCUGACAUUACCAAUUUUGCAAGGGAUAGUAAACAUACCUGGAUCCUUGCACUGAGGAGGUAGUUUCUUUUGAAGAACUGCUGAAACAUUCUCCCUCAUGUGAACUUUUUCAUCUCCUCUUAAUUUUCUCUUGGAGGUGCACAGUUCCUUAAGGACUUUAGCAUAUUGAGGUAUUUGUUUUGUAGCAUCUAAUAAAGGAAUAUUUACCUCAACCUUGCGAAAUGUCUCAAGGAUGUCUUUCUCUUGUUCCUCCUUCUUGGAUUUUGUAAACCAGCUUGGAAAAUGAGGAGGUAUCACAAUAGGUAGGGGUUUCGCUCUAGUGGGUUGCACAUCUUGAGAUUUAGGCAUCAAUUCAUUCUUCUCAAGCUCAUCUUCUACAUGCUUUAUCACUUUCUUACUAGUCUCUUGCAACUCCUUCCCACUUCUAAUGGAAAAGGAGGAGGUAUCACAAUAGGUAGGGGUUUCGCUCUGGUGGGUUGUGCAUCUUGAGAUUGAGGCAUCAAUUCAUUCUUCUCAAGCUCAUCUUCUACAUGCUUUAUCACUUUCUUACUAGUCUCUUGCAACUCCUUCCCACUUCUAAGGAUGACAGCACUAACAUUUUACUUUGGAUUCACCUCAGAUUAUGAAGGCAAUCUCCCUAAUACUUGAGACUCCAGACGGCUCACUGUAGUCGCUAAUUGACUCAUUUGGUUCUCCAAGUUCUGUACGCUUGUCGUAGUUGCCUGUUGAAAUUGUUGAGUGUUAGUCGCAAGUGAUUUAACAAUUUCUUCAAGAGAUGUACCUGACUUGGAGUUUGACUGUGGAGGUGCUGGUUGUCUUGGUGGAUACUGUUGUGGGAAUCCUGACGGCCUAACUCCAUAGCUGAAGUUGGGAUGAUCCUUCCAUCCCGAAUUAUAUGUUUGGGCAUAAGGAUCAUACCUUCUCUGAGGCAUGCCUGGAAAUCCUCCAACUGCAUUGGCUUGUUCAACGGGUUCUUCUUGAAGUGUAGGACACAUAUCAGUUGAAUGACCCAUAUUGUAACAAAUGCCACAAGUCUUCACCUGUUGCACGUUACCUACAACAAACUUUUCCACAAGAGAAGUAAGUUUAUCUAAACGUUGUUCAAUAGAAGAAAUAUUUACCUCAUUCACCUUCCUUGAAGUGAGAUCUUGCCUGCUACUAAAUUGUUGUGCGUUGGCAGCCAUAUUUGAUAUUAACUCCCUUGCUUGAGUAGGGGUCUUGUUCACCAACACACCUCCACUAGCAGCAUCUAUCAUACUCCUAUCCAUCAAUGACAGUCCUUCGUAAAAAUAUUAAAUAAGAAGUUGAUCAGAAAUCUGAUGCUGAUGACAGCAGGCACACAAUUGUUUGAAUCGCUCCUAAUACUCAUACAAAGUCUCCCCAGGAAGUUGUCAAAUCCCACAAAUGUCUUUUCUAAUGUUAGCAGCUCUUGAAGCAGGAAAAUACUUCUCGAGGAACUGCUUCUUCAAACCAUUCCACAUUGUAAUUGAUCCAGGAGGCAAGUAGUAUAACCAAUCUUUAGCUAACCCAUCUAAAGAGAACGGAAAAGCACGCAGCUUAAUCUGCUCUUCAGUCACGCCUUGUGGCCUCAUACUUGAGCACACAACAUGAAACUCCUUAAGAUGUUUAUGAGGAUCUUCACCUGCAAAACCAUGAAACUUGGGUAAUAAAUGAAUAAGACCAGACUUUAAUUCAAAAUUUACCUCCAAAUCUACAUAUUGAAUGCAGAGUGGUUGCUGAUUCAAGUCUGGUUCAGCUAACUCUCUAAGAGUUCUUUCUACAGGUGCAGGUCUAUCCAUCACUUGUUCUUCUGAAUCGCUAGAUGAUUCAACUAAAUCAGGCACCGUAUCUGUUUCAGAAAGCAAAGGCGACGAGGAUCGUUGCUUAGCUCGCUUUGUCUGCUGUCUCAGUUGGCGAGCUGUCUUCUCAAUUUUAGGAUCAAACGAAAGUGUACCUGUACGAGAAGAACGAACCAUACACCAAGUAAAACGUAAAAAAGAUUAAAUAAAUGACACCAAUCCCCGGCAANNNNNNNNNNNNNNNNNNNNNNNNNNNNNNNNNNNNNNNNNNNNNNNNNNNNNNNNNNNNNNNNNNNNNNNNNNNNNNNNNNNNNNNNNNNNNNNNNNNNNNNNNNNNNNNNNNNNNNNNNNNNNNNNNNNNNNNNNNNNNNNNNNNNNNNNNNNNNNNNNNNNNNNNNNNNNNNNNNNNNNNNNNNNNNGUGCGUUGGCAGCCAUAUUUGAUAUCAGCUCCCUUGCUUGAGUAGGGGUCUUGUUCACCAACACGCCUCCACUAGCAGCAUCUAUCAUACUCCUAUCCAUCAAUGACAGUCCUUCGUAAAAAUAUUGAAUAAGAAGAUGAUCAGAAAUUUGAUGCUGAGGACAGCUGGCACACAAUUUUUUGAAUCGCUCCCAAUACUCAUACAAAGUCUUCCCAUGAAGUUGUCUGAUCCCACAAAUGUCUUUUCUGAUGUUGGCAGCUCUUGAAGCAGGAAAGUACUUCUCGAGGAACUGCUUCUUCAAAUCAUUCCACGUUGUAAUCGAUCCAGGAGGCAAGUAAUACAACCAGUCUUUAGCUAGCCCAUCUACAGAGAACGGAAAAGCACGCAGCUUAAUCUGCUCUUCAGUCACGCCUUGUGGUCUCAUACUUGAACAUACAACAUGAAACUCCUUAAGAUGUUUAUGAGGAUCUUCACCUGCAAAACCAUGAAACUUGGGUAAUAAAUGAAUAAGACCAGACUUUAAUUCAAAAUUUACCUCCAAGUCUACAUAUUGAAUGCAGAGUGGUUGUUGAUUCAAGUCUGGUUCAGCUAACUCUCUAAGAGUUCUUUCUACAGGUGCAUCUCUAUCCAUCACUUGUUCUUCUGAAUCGCUAGAUGAUUUAACUAAAUCAGGCACUGUAUCUGUUUCAGAAAGCAAAGGUGAAGAGGAUCGUUGCUUAGCUCGCUUCGUCUGCUGUCUCAGCUGGCGAGCUGUCUUCUCAAUUUCAGGAUCAAACGAAAGUGUACCUGUACGAGAAGAACGAACCAUACACCAAGUAAAACGUAAAAAGGAUUAAAUAAAUGACACCAAUCCCCGGCAACGGCGCCAAAAUUUGAUGGUUGUCGAAGUCAACAAAAAUAAAUUCCUACUCUAAAUAAAUUGUGUAUAGUGAUUGAGCAGGGUCGUGUCCACAGAGAUCGGUAAUUAUUUAAAUCCUUUUGAAACGUAAAACGUAAAAUGGGGGAAUUGUUGACAAUAAUAAAAAUCAAAUUAAAAUAACAAGAAUGCAAAUUAAAGUUGUAAUUCAAAUUGGAGAAAGCUCUGGUUGAAGGAAUUAACUCAGCUUGAUUCGACUACUGAUCAUUGAUUCAAAUAAAUAUUAUUAUUACUUAUGAAUAGACCGAUUAUAGCUACUGAGACUCUUUAAUAGCCAAUCUCUCCUUAACUAGUUGAUAACCAAGGUACGACCAUUGGAUAUUUCCCUAAUCAAUAAACAACCCUAGAUACGAUCAUAGGAUUUAAUCAAUUGAUAGCCUAGAAAAUCGGAGAAACCUAAAUCCUAAUCAACACAUAUGAUGAUUCAUUUAAAUUAGUUUGUUUAUUCUCAUAACACAACUCACUGCUAUAUUAUUUGUCACAAACAUUAAAAUCUUCAUAUGAUGAAUCCUUUAAUUGACAAUUGAUUAAGUUGAUAAUUAAAUAGUGGCCAAUUACCUAAUUAACAAACAUAACCAUGAAACUAAUUCAGAGAAUAAACAAAUACCCAAAAAGUAAUAAAACAAUUAAAGCAUAAGAAAGAUCUCGCAGUAGUGAUGAAUCAAAGCUUCAUUAAUCUUCAACUAGAAAAAUAAGUUUAGUUCUUCAUAGAGAGAAGAAGAAAAUUAGAUCUAGGGUUUCUUUCUUUUUCUCCAAUCCAAACCCCCCCCCCCUUUUUUCACAAUAGAUUCCUCCCUUAAAUACUCUCUCUCUCGUCUCUUUUAAAGUUCUAUUUAAAAUAAAAUACUAAUAUCUGAAAUUUUAAAUUUGUAAUUACAAAAAUAACCAAAAAUACAAAACAUGUUAAACUAAAAACUGCAGGUUUGCAGUUGACAGCACGCGCCCACGCCUUAUCAACAAAGUUCUUCUGCCGCUCAUAAUUUCUUCAAGAGAACAAUCAUCCUUAAACAUCAUCUUGUAGCUCAAUUUUAUCACCAAUCAAUAGAAUUGCACCUACAAAAGUAAAUCACUAGUAAAUCACUAUUAUUAAGUGCAAAACAUCGAUAUUAAGGGAAGUAAACAAUGCAAAACUAGUGCAUAAAUUGCACUCUAACAGUCUUGAAUUACAUAUUAAUUUUCUACCGUUUACCUUUUUCAUUUUAUUAAAGUUCCACCAUUUUUAUUGCUAUUUUCUAUGUUUGCCAUUCCGCACAAAUACAUAUCCCCAAUGUAUUAGUUAUCACUUCUUAGAAAUUUUGUAAAUAUCAACAAUUAAUAUCAUUAUUCAAUCAUUUAGAAAAACCUCAUUAUUAAUGAUUAGUUUAUCUCUCAAUUAAAACUAGACACAUUGUAAAUAUGUGAACUCUAAUUAAAUCUUGAUACUUGUAAUAUAUAUGAGCCAUAUCUAAAAGAGUGAGUUUUAAUUUCGACUUCCAUUUUUUUAAAUGCUAGGUAGAUGUACUGAAUAGGAAGCAACAAAUGAAGAUGGAUUCUUUUUGCUGGACACUGGUUUUUAUUUUUCAUUUUUUCCAAUUAUUCAAUGGUGCUUGGUCCACCCAUGUCCGGUUCGUCAAGCAGACAAGCACAAGCGCGUGAAGCUUGAUAAAUUAUUGAUGGUGGUCGGGGCUGCCUCUGGCUUUUGCUUCCACUUUCGUGUAAUAAAGUGAAGUUUGCUAAAUUAUCGGUGGCGGGUCUUUUUUUGUUUUCACAUUAGAGUUAUUUCAGUUGAUGACAUAUUAAUCGUCUUGUUAUUUUUAUUAAGUAUAUGUAUUAAGUAUAAAUGAGUCGAAUUUAUGUUCAGCUAAAAUUUGUUAUAGUUUAUUUUGACACGACAGUAAUGUAACGCGACGGUAGGAAUUACCAUUGGGAUUAUAAAAAAUUGUUGCGUACUUUUAAGUCUUCGUUUUAGCAUGGAAAUUAAUUCAAUCAAUAAAGUAGUUUUAGGGCAGAAAGAGAGAGAGAGAGAAACGUUUUGAUUUAACUUGGUUUAUGAGUUUGAAGACUUGUAAAGGGAAGGUUCGUAGUAGAUACAUUCCAUUUUCCACUUUAUUCAGCAUUUACCGGGACACUGGAUUAAUGUUGCAUGGCCCUACAAAUGUCAUAUUCAUUGAAUUGCUAAAUUAUUAUAUUCAUUGAAUCUGGUAACAAGUGGUGGUGAUUGGUGAAUUGCUAAAUUAAUGGGUAGUGGGCUCUGUUUUUAUUUUCACUUUCCUGGAAUAAACAACAAGUGGAAGACUUGUUACGCGCGUUUUGCAUUUCCAAACUCAAAAUUCUGUUUCUUUCUUUGCAAAAAAAAAAAAAAAAAGGAAAAAAAGAAAAAAAAUGUCAAUCAGCGGAGAGUAGCGUAAUUAUUGGUGGUAGUACUGUCUUUUACUUCAUUUAGUGUAAUAAUCACGUUUUGUUAGUUAUGUUAUUAACUUACUAAAUAUAUACCUUGAACAAAUGAGUCGAAUUUAUUUUAUCUAAAAUUUCAUUUUACAACAAAAAUAUAACAUUAUGAUUGGACUUGGCAUUGAGAUUAAAAAAAAAUAUAGUGCACUUAUAAGAAUAAAAAGAGAGAUUAAAAUCAUUUAUUUUAACUUGCUUUUAUAAGUAGAAGACUUCUACAACAAAGAUGGAUGCAUUCUAUUUUCCUCCAUAUUCAACAUUUUUUUUUCAUUAUUCAACGUUUGAAGAAAAAAUAAGAAUUUUGAUAUUCUUAGCAUUGAAGAAUUGAUAGACUCUCUUCAAACAUUUAAGAUGAACCUUAAUUAGGGUUUUGAAAAUUAUAAAGAACAAUAUUUUAAAAGCGUUAGCUGAGUAAAUUUUAGCAUUAAUUACGAUUCCACUCUAAAUCGAAAAUGUGUAGGUUUUUCUCUUAUUAUUAUUUUUAAAAUUCUAGCAUUAAUUGCGGCUCUGUUUUUUCUUUUCUUAGCUGCAAGGAACAACAAGUGGGGAGACUUGCCACGUUUUACGUCGUAUUUUGCGUGACCCUUGACACUUAAUUACUAAGCAUUUUCAUUUUGCUCUCCAAGUGGUGGUGAUGAGUGAAUUGCCAAAUUAUUAGUCAUUGGUCAAUAAAGUAUAAACGCGUGAUUUCUAGCUGCGCCAGACCCUUCACAAUCACAAACUCAUUCUGCUUGAUUAUCCAUUUUCUCACCUGUUCAAUAUUCUCAUUCUGCUUUCCAUAACCCAUAAUUCUGCUCCUUUCUUCCUUUGCCCAAAAAAAAAAAGAAAAAAAUGUCAAUCAUCGGAGAGGCAAUCCUUACGGCGUCCGUUGAUUUGCUGGUCAAUAAGUUAGCUUCAGAUGGGAUUCUGUUUUUUGCACGCCAAGAGAAGAUCCAAGACUAUCUAAUGAAGUGGGAGAAUAUGUUGGAGAUGAUCAAGGCGGUGCUUGAUGAUGCUGAGGAGAAGAAGACGACUAAUCAGUUUGUGAAGAAGUGGCUUGGCAAGCUUCAGAACUUGGCUUAUGAUGUUGAAGACUUGUUGGAUGAGUUUCAAACUGAGGCUUUCCGGAGGAAGUUGCUGCUUGGAAAUGGAGAACCAGAUGCGGCUCAUGAUGAACCCAGUAGCAGUCAUACGAGACCAAGUAAGCUUCGGACGCUCAUUCAUACUUGCUUCACCAUUUGUACUCCACAAUCGAUUCAGUUCGAUUACGCCAUGAUGCCCAAAAUCGAAGAGAUCAACAGCAGAUUUCAACAUAUUGUAACACAGAAAAACUCGCUGGGUUUGAACGUAAGUUCAGCGGGGAGGAGCACAGGAGACAGGCAAAGACGAGAGACAACCUCUUUGGUGAAUGAAGCCAAAGUAUAUGGCAGGGAAACAGAAAAGAAGGAAAUUGUUGAAUUGUUGUUGAAGGAUGAUUCAAGAAAUGAUGGUGGGUUCGCUGUUAUUCCUAUUAUAGGUAUGGGCGGGCUGGGUAAAACCACUCUUGCUCAGCUUGUCUACAAUGAUAAGCAAGUGGAGGACCAUUUUGGUCUCAAGGCAUGGACUUGCGUCUCUGAUGAUUUUGAUCUUAUCAGGCUUACAAAAUCAAUCCUACUUUCAAUUGCUAGUGACCAGAAAGUGGAUGAUCACGACUUAAAUAAGCUUCAAGAGAAAUUGAAGAAACAACUGCUUAGAAAGAAAUUUUUGCUUGUUUUGGACGACGUAUGGAAUGAUAAUUACAAUGAUUGGGUUCAAAGGCUUUCCGGAGGAAGUUGCUGCUUGGAAAUGGAGAACCAGAUGCGGCUCAUGAUGAACCCAGUAGCAGUCAUACGAGACCAAGUAAGCUUCGGACGCUCAUUCAUACUUGCUUCACCAUUUGUACUCCACAAUCGAUUCAGUUCGAUUACGCCAUGAUGCCCAAAAUCGAAGAGAUCAACAGCAGAUUUCAACAUAUUGUAACACAGAAAAACUCGCUGGGUUUGAACGUAAGUUCAGCGGGGAGGAGCACAGGAGACAGGCAAAGACGAGAGACAACCUCUUUGGUGAAUGAAGCCAAAGUAUAUGGCAGGGAAACAGAAAAGAAGGAAAUUGUUGAAUUGUUGUUGAAGGAUGAUUCAAGAAAUGAUGGUGGGUUCGCUGUUAUUCCUAUUAUAGGUAUGGGCGGGCUGGGUAAAACCACUCUUGCUCAGCUUGUCUACAAUGAUAAGCAAGUGGAGGACCAUUUUGAUCUCAAGGCAUGGACUUGCGUCUCUGAUGAUUUUGAUCUUAUCAGGCUUACAAAAUCAAUCCUACUUUCAAUUGCUAGUGACCAGAAAGUGGAUGAUCACGACUUGAAUAAGCUUCAAGAGGAGCUGAAGAAGAAGUUAUCUCAAAAGAAAUUUUUGCUUGUUUUAGACGACGUUUGGAAUGAGAAUUACAAUGACUGGGUUGACAUGAGCCGUCCGUUUGAAGCUGGCGCACAGGGAAGUAAGAUUGUUGUCACUACUCGCAAUCAACAGGUUGCAAAAAUCAUGAGGCCGGAUCAAGCUUAUGAAUUGAAAAACUUGUCCACUGAGGAUUGUCUGUCUGUGUUUGCUCAGCACUCUUUGGGGACAAGAGAUUUCAGUUCACACAAGUCAUUGGAGGACAUUGGCAAGAAGAUAGUGAUCAAAUGCAAUGGCUUGCCCUUGGCAGCAAAAACACUGGGAGGACUUUUAUGUGGAGAACAUGACAGAGGUGUGUGGGAAGAUGUGCUCAGUAGCAAGAUAUGGGUAUUACCAGAAGAUAUAUGUCCCAUUAUACCAGCCCUUGCAGUGAGCUAUUAUUAUCUUCCUCCAAUUUUAAAACAAUGCUUUGCACACUGCUCGUUGUUUCCGAAGGAUUAUGAAUUUGAAGAGGAGGAGAUAAUUUUAUUAUGGAGUGCCGUGGGUUUCUUGGAUCACGGAGAGAGCGGGAAUCCAAGUGAAGAUCUUACUUUUUUACCAGUAAUGUUGACAAACAGUUGGCCUGGCUACUUGGCUCCUAGCAUUCUUCCUAAGUUGCUCAAACUCCAACGCUUGAGGGUCUUCUCUUUGCGUGGAUACCGCAUCCCAGAGCUGCCGGAUUCAAUUGGUGAUUUGAGGUAUUUAAGGUACCUUAACCUGUCUGGAACUGAGAUUAGCACUCUGCCUGAAUCAGUCAACAAGCUUUACAAUUUGCACAGUCUUUUGUUGGAAGAUUGUGAUCGGCUGAGGAAGUUGUGUGCAGGCAUGGGAAACCUCGCCAAAUUGCAUCAUCUUAAGAAUUCAAAUACGAAGUCGUUGGAGGAAAUGCCAGUAGGAAUUGGUAGGUUGACUAGUCUUCAGACGUUGUGUGAUUUUGUUGUGGGAGAAGGCAGUGGUUCCGGGUUACGAGAGCUAAAGUUGUUGACGCACCUUCAUGGGACACUUAACAUUUCAAAAUUGGAGAAUGUAAAAUGCAUUGGUGAUGCCAUGGAGGCUCAAAUGGAUGGAAAGAAGAAUCUGAAAGAAUUAUCGCUUAAAUGGACUUGCAGUACUGAUGGUUCUUCUUCAAGGGAGGCAGAAACUGAAAUGGGCGUGCUUGACAUGCUAAAACCUCAUACAAAUCUGGAGCAAUUUUGUAUCAAAGGCUAUGGAGGUAUGAAAUUUCCAACUUGGUUGGGAGAUUCCUCAUUCUCAAAUUUGGUGACCCUAGAAUUUGAAAAUUGUGACAUGUGUACUGCCCUGCCGUCAGUCGGGCAACUACCCUCUCUAAAGCAUCUUGCAGUAUGUGGAAUGAGCAGAGUAAAGAGGUUGGGUUCAGAGUUCUAUGGGAAUGAUGCUCCAUUUCCUUUUCCAUGCUUGGAGACUCUUCGUUUUGAAAACAUGCGAGAAUGGGAAGACUGGAUUCCUCUUAGAUCUGGUCAGGGAGUUGAAGGGUUUCCUAAAUUGAGAGAGCUUCAUCUUAUAAGCUGUUCUAAACUGCAAGGAACAUUUCCAGAGCACCUUCCUGCAUUGCAGAUGCUUGUUAUUCAAGAAUGCAAAGAAUUGUUAGUUUCAAUUACCAGUCUUCCAGCUCUUUGCAAAUUAGAGAUUGAUGGAUGUAAAGAGGUUGUGUGGGAAAGUGCAACUGAUCAUCUCGGGUCA
RNAcentral lists this long non-coding RNA (15169 nucleotides) under Citrus sinensis (sweet orange). Its description in RNAcentral is "long non-coding RNA (CSIN_LNC004962)". The record is from RNAcentral. Lineage: Eukaryota; Viridiplantae; Streptophyta; Magnoliopsida; Sapindales; Rutaceae.